CUUUACUAUAGCUUUGCAGUGGCACGCGAACUGUCAUGUGUAGCAUAGGUGGGACCCUUUGAAGUUCCGGCGCCAGCCGGGAUGGAGGGGUCAGUGAAAUACCACCCUUGACUUUUCUCGUGUCUAACGGUCUUCCAUUAUCUGGAAGCCGGACCCUGCAUGGUGGGUAGUUUGACUGGGGCGGUCGCCUCCCAAAUUGUAACGGAGGCGCGCGAUGGUAAGCUCAAGACGGUCGGAAAUCGUCUUCAAGAGUGUAAUGGCAUAAGCUUGCCUGACUGCGAGACUGACGAGUCGAGCAGAGCCGAAAGGCGGUCAUAGUGAUCCGGUGGUUCCACAUGGAAGGGCCAUCGCUCAACGGAUAAAAGGUA
This 368-nucleotide ribosomal RNA is filed under the name uncultured organism. Its description in RNAcentral is "bacterial LSU rRNA". It matches the Rfam family "Bacterial large subunit ribosomal RNA", at positions 2099 to 2465 of the family's 2925-position model. The record is from RNAcentral.